UACGAAGGGUGCAAGCGUUAAUCGGAAUUACUGGGCGUAAAGCGUGCGUAGGUGGUUUCUUAAGUCUGCUGUGAAAGCCCUGGGCUCAACCUGGGAAUGGCGGUGGAUACUGAGGAGCUAGAGUGCGGUAGAGGAGGGUGGAAUUCCCGGUGUAGCGGUGAAAUGCGUAGAGAUCGGGAGGAACAUCAGUGGCGAAGGCGGCCCUCUGGACCAGCACUGACGCUGAGGCACGAAAGCGUGGGGAGCAAACGGG
Molecule: ribosomal RNA, 253 nt
Filed under: uncultured bacterium
Lineage: Bacteria
Description: partial 16S ribosomal RNA
Rfam family: Bacterial small subunit ribosomal RNA
Source: RNAcentral